Molecule: long non-coding RNA, 179 nt
Organism: Bradysia coprophila
Lineage: Eukaryota; Metazoa; Arthropoda; Insecta; Diptera; Sciaridae
Source: RefSeq, a predicted model, not a curated record
UUCAUUUUCACCUACCACUAUGAGUCACCUGAUGACCGGUUAAAACAUGUUUAAAUUUGAAAGCAGCAUUACAGAUCGAACAUUUGAAUGGCCUCGCGUCUGUAUCUGUCCUUUGAUGAUCGGUUAGAGCGUGUUUACGUUUGAACGUAGCAUGACAGAUCGAACAUUCGAAUGGUUUC